Long non-coding RNA from Oxyura jamaicensis (ruddy duck), 4277 nucleotides. RefSeq lists it as uncharacterized. The transcript has 6 exons. The record is from RefSeq and is a predicted model, not a curated record. Lineage: Eukaryota; Metazoa; Chordata; Aves; Anseriformes; Anatidae.
ACUGCUGGUGCCAGUGCUGUUAAUUUCUCUGGUUUUUAGGUAUCUCUCAGACCAGGACCUCUGUCCUGUACUCAUCAACCCGUGAGACAUAACGUGAAGCCAGGACACAGCUGUGUGCUUCCUGCCUCACUCACUAGUUCAUCACCCUCUACUUCACCUUGUACGCCAAAAUCUCCUCAUGUAUGGCAGGCCCACUUCCAAAAUUGCUCUCAAAACUGUACCUGCUUAGCAGAUGUUAAACAUGAAAUGAAAGUGUAUGUAUUAUACCUAAAUACUAUAAUGCACCAUGGGUAUAAGCACCGUGUGGCAAAUAACUGGUCCCACAAACCCUUCUGCAGAUAACUAAAGCCAUCAAAGGCAGCUGAGUUUGUUUGAUUGAGGAUUACACGUAAUUAGUGGUCUGCAAGGUUAAGAGUACGACCUGCGUCACUAAUGAGUGCUCAUGUAUUAAUGCUGCUUUGAGCAGGGGGUUCAGCUAGGUGACCUCUUAGGUCUGCUCCAGCGAGAAGUUUAUGAUGAUCACACUUGUGUUGUGUAAAGAGAUACUUCACUUACAAAACAACAUAGCAAUUACAUAAGCUAACCCUUGGCAAAUCAUUGCGAUUAAUUUUACUUAUUGCAUCACGGCAUAGCAUGGAGAUGCAAAUUUGGCCCAAGUUUAAGGUUUAAAACAGAAAAAGGAAUACACCCAUGCCUUUUUGCAUAUCACAUCCAAUUCCUGGCAUACAGUUUUAGAUUAAACUGAAUUCCUUGUAUUCCUAGUGUACAGUUGACUCGGUUGUGGUUCUGGAACUAAUCCAGAGUAUGUAGUGCCUGAAAACAUGAUGCUUGAUGUGCAGUUGAGCUGUGUGAAGGGACUUGAGCUUACUUUGACUAGUUCAGGUGUGGCUAGCACUGAGGCUGUUGUAACAAAGCCAUCAGUGCAGGUGAGCAGCCUGAGUAACAAAGACUUGAGGCCUAAAAACUAAAAAACCUAAUAACUUUGCAAGGCAAGGACUCAGAAUGUGAGAGGAAAUUCCUAUAUGUAAAAACAAGCGAACAAAACUGUGUGAGAUUAUACUGUGUAGAUCCUGAAUAGAUGUAGAUGUUGCCGUGACUGGUUGAGUUUAAUAAGCAGUACAUGUCAAGUGAAUUUUCCAAUGAAUUUUCCAUUAUUUAAGAAAUGGUAUUUUGCUUAACACGAGUGUGAACCUUCUUGUUAAGAUAUAUGGGGAAUUUGUAUGGAUUUCCUUCCUGUGUUUGGAUAAAAUUCAUACCUGUUGAUACCUCUUUAACGGUUUCCACUUAGUAUUGCUGAUUACUGACUUUUAAGCCAAAAGCUGGUGAUGAGGGAGGGAACCUCCAAACUACUGGUUGUAAAAGGCCAAUCGCUUUCACACACAGGUGACCAGAACUGGGUUUAUGCAAUGUUUUAACCCUUCCAAAUAGGUGAUACAGCCCCUGUAACAGAAUGGGGUUGUUGUGCUGUCUGAUUGCAGUGUAUUUCAGGGAAAUACUUGGUUGCUUGUAUGCUUUUACUAAAAAAUAAAAGGUUGACAGUGCUAUAGCUGUAGUAAGUAAUGUGUUAAGGACUUGACAAGUCCGGACUUUUCGGGACUGUAGAAAGCAAUUAAAAGGAAUAAAAGGUUCUUGGAAGGAGCCAAGGGAUUCCUUUAUGUUAUUCUUCAUCACAAGGAAUGUUGUGGCCAUUCUGUUCUUUUCAGACAAUGUCAAUGGGACAUUAUCUGAUUAUCGGAUUAGAGACCCAAAAGCUUGAAUGCUCGGAUAAAGUGCUCAAGACCCCCAAAGUCAUGAGGACUGGAUGCAACUCAGCCAUUCAGUGGUGCUAAAGGAUGAAGUGGCUGACCUGCUAAGAAGACUGUAUCUCGUUAGGAUGAGAUGCUGUGCCAGGAGACCAGGAACUGUCAGCUGUUGUAGGUACUUCACCUUUACACUGAGAAUGAGGAAUGGAUCUGGAAUUUGCAGACCAACGACUCGUAUUUUAAUGCCAAGCCAAUGAAUUUGAGUGCGACAUGGAUAGUCAAGUAGUUCUUUUGUUUUCUUCAGACGACCUCUAAAUUUCCAAUAAUGGCAAUACAUUCAUUCUGCCAUUUGGAGGAGCCUGUGCCACAGAAUAAUGAUGUGAAGAAAUCGAACUUAUUUGCAAGGAAGAGUCUUCAUUUGUGAACGAGGACCCAUGCAGCAAAGAGGUGCUUUGUUAAGUUCAGCAGAACUAUUACUGCUCCUAACACAGUGUCCUGUACGUGGACAAAGUUGGUUUUUCUUCAAAAAAUAAGCAGAAUGCUGUAUCUGGAGAGUAAAAAGAUCAGUAUCUUGCCUCGCUUCUCUGAUGUGCAAAUGAAGCUCGUCCAAUAUGUGUUACCCAAGAAAGAAUUAAGAAAAUUGAAGUCAGAAUAUCUGAACUUGAAUCACUUGCAAACAAGGAAGAUCUGCAUGCACGUGUUCUCUAAAGAUAAUGUUGAACAGAUCCAGAAUCCGUUUUGGUAGCUGCAGGUUGCUUGUCUGAAAUCCCUUCAUAAGCUCGAGUGCAAAGCAAGUACAGUACUAGUGAUGGAUGUGAAUGGAUGUCUUAAGGAUAACAGUGGAUAUGGCAUCUUCAGAAACGGUGGCAUUAUGAAGGUGUAUUUAUGUUGAUUUGUCUGGCUACAUGCUGAUCUCAGAAGACACAACUCUGUGAUAGGGGGAAGAGCAGUAUCGUAGUCCUGGACAACAGCAAGAAUGACAGCCCUGAUGAAUUGGCAGGUCAGACUGAAGACUGUUACAUCCUGCUGAGAUGACACAGGAAAGUCACAGGUAGAGGGAAAGCAUGGGGCCCUUCCCUUUUCCCCUGUAGGCUGGAUGAUGCAUGCUGUUGCUGAAUUGAGGGCAUCGUGAUACUCCAGAGUGUAGCCCGUGGUUCUGUGCUCAUGUUCCAUUGUAAAACUCUGUAGUGUCCUCCCUGCUGCUGUUAUACAUUCCUGUUAUAUCAAAGCCUGUGUUUCAGUGCGGGAAAACCUUACAAAGUAGAGAUUUUUCUGAAACACCACCUUUUCUCUUUGGCAAUUGUAUAUUAUACAAGAUACAUGCUACUGUAGGCUAUUAUUAGUAUGGUAGGGAGAAACAUCAGCAUAAGAAGUGACUUCAUCUAACGCACUGCCAAGCUAGAACUUCUCACAACCUUCAGAUGGGCACAAGAGAGCGUUUUUGUAGCAGUAAUAUUAUUUUCUGUCAGUUUUACAGAGUUUUAAAAUACGGUAAGAUUACCUCAUUUUCGUUUUUGCCACCACAUUACUAAGAGACUAAAAAUCUACACGUCUAGAAAUGAGGUGUUGGUGAUUAAGAUAAAAAUAUCCCCUUUAUUGGUUUUAGGCCACUCUCAUUUCUUUAAAAUAACAAAACAAAUCAUGUAUAAAUACGAAGAAACAGCAGUAUGCAGGAGGUGAGCAAAUGCACACUGCAGGUACUCGUGUCUGCCUGAGGGGGAAUCUACCGUGAUCAGUUAAUGCUGUAUAAACCUCUUUAUGCACAAUGUCAUUGUAGCCUUUUCCGUAGCUGCAGCAUGUUGUGGUAAAAAUGUAAAUCUCUUAAUAGUCUAGACACUCAGAUUAUUUUUCUGGGGCUAGUUUGGUGUCUCUUUACUUGUGGGCUGUGCUACCUGGUUCGUCCCUGUUCUGCUUAUACUUUUAUUUAUAUGUUCUUAGUUCUGCCACUGGGUUUGUCCAAAUGCACCUUGCCAGCUGUGGGUCUGACUGAGUUAAUGGGACUCUGAAUGACUGGAAGUUUGUACUCGGAAGAUCUGACUGUAGGCCUGAACCAGAAUUUUUACUUUAUUCCCCUAUUUGCUUCUAAUUCAUGAAAAAUGUCCUCUAAAGUGUCUAUGAGACCUAAUGUACAUCUGCCUUAGUACCAUUCAUAUCCUAUGUUCUCUGGGUAUUGUCAGACACGGUUAAAGUAUUUCUGUUGUGUCAUGUGUCAAAAACUCUGGAUGGAUGUGAUCACUGUGUUAUAUUUUUACAUUUAAUGGCUUCCUACCUGAAAGAGGAGGGAGAAUCCUCUGUGUUUUCAGUACUUGUGGUAUUUCUCUUAGCUCAGAUUCUGAAGCCAGAGUAACUACUUGAACUGUAUUCAGGUAAUUUGUAAAGGUGUUAGUAGAUUUGUUUUUUAUUCUUUGGGCACAAAGUACAUUUAUUUUGCACCAUGCUAUUUUCGUGGUAGCCUAUUAUUCCUAAAAGCUUUCAAUAUGAUGAUACACUGUGAUGCAGACCAAUAAAAUAAGCAGGAAAAGGCAAUAACUUUUA